This 2025-nucleotide long non-coding RNA is filed under the name Salmo salar (Atlantic salmon). Its description in RNAcentral is "lncRNA (ENSSSAG00000120020.1)". The record is from RNAcentral. Lineage: Eukaryota; Metazoa; Chordata; Actinopteri; Salmoniformes; Salmonidae.
CACCACCUUCUAUGACAUCACUUCAUCACCCUGACAACUGACCCCUCCCCCCCACAUCCUCUCCUCCCUGUUGCCCGGGCAACAAGAACAUUGAAGGUACACUGAAGUAUUUCUGAAGAGAUGUGUUUGUUAUGCUUCUGUUCUGGAACAUGGCCGUCACUUCACUUGUCUCCUACAGCAGACUAGGACUGAAUUGUUUUAUUUUAUCAUGUUGUUGUUGUUGUUGUUGUUGUUCUGUACUUUAUUCUAAUUGUUUGUAAUUGCUUGAUUCUCACAAGGUGAACAAAUAUGGACAAAGGCGUUUAUUAUUUUGUAUUGCUCUGCUAGCAUACGCUAUGUACGUUAAGCUAACAUUAAACACAUUAUUAGCAUUCGCUGAGCUAACAAAAGUUCUGUACUAGCGUACGCUAAGCUAACCGAAACACUCCGCUAAGCAUAUGCUAAGCUUACCCUGGGGAGAAAAAAAAACCUGUUAGCUUUAUGCUAAGCUAGCAGCAUCACACUCCGCUGAGCUUCAACCCCACUGAAAAGCCUUUCUACUGCAGUGCCUUUCAACUCUGUCUCUGGGUUUCGACUAUUGUACCUUUCAACUACAACAGGUCUUAAGAUCUCUGAGUUCAACUGCAGCGCCUGUUUAGUGGAAAUUAUGUUUUUACUCUCUACACUACACUAGCAUAUCACAGAAUACUACAAUACUACAUGCCCAAAAGACCCUUAAAAAAAAACCCCAGCUUUGUGACUGCUUCAUUCUCAGUGGUAGCUAGUGUGGCUGUUGGAACAGAGACUACGGCCGGGAUUCAAUCCCAAAACUGUGUCAUCGACCGCUUGACGUUUUAAAGGUCAUUUUCUAAUCGAGCAGCAGCAUCGUCGAAAAAAGCCGCGAUCAGAUUGAAUCCCUGCCUGUAUCUCUCUGGUCCAGGAUCUCUUUGGUUUCAUACCAACCCGAACACAAACCUAGUCUUCUCUAUCUCUAUCUAUCUAUCUAUCUCUCUAUCUCUCUCUCUCUCUCUCUCUCUCUCUCUCUCUCUCUCUCUCUCUCUCUCUCUCUCGCUCAUUUCAAAAAGGCAACAGAUUUCCCGUAAAAGAUAUGAAGAGCGAAUGUAUAUUUUUUUUUAUACAUUCAGUGUUUUGUACGUGUGCGUGUAGCAAACAUAGAAGGCAUCAUACAAAAACAUCUGUCAGCUUAAGUUACAGCUGGUAUCUUUAUGCACGGGCUGCGUCUCAAUCCACCGUAUCCGCCUUGUCGGCCUUCCUCAUCUGAGGUGGAAGGUGACAGAGCCACAGCGGUGUUUGUCAGAGAUCGAGAAACGUCCCCGAAAAAUUGGUCUUCUCACAAAUGUUUCCGUUGCGUCCAAACGGUUUAAUCUCCAAAACGAAUACGACCCUCAUCUACGGAGAGAUGGAGACUCACACAAAACACGAGCGUCACGUCGUGACUCUUCUGAAAUUCGUAACCGCCAAUCUGCCAACUUCUGUCUGUAGCGUCCGAACAAUUCGGGCCACAAACUAGCACGACCCCACCAUCGAACGGUGAGACUCUUACGAACACGUACCUGUUAGCUGUUUUGCUCUAGGUCGCCCACAAGCCUCACAAGACUAGUCUUGAAGGUACCAGUUUAAAACCUUUAUGGAGGUACUUUAGUGCCAAAAGAGUGGAUUAUGGGUAAAAAAAAAACGGAGUUUUCUUAUAUCUCUCAGAUAGAGGACAGACACUUCAAAACGACACUACUUCCUCUUAAUGACCCUGCCAUGUAUGAAUAUUUUUAUUCAAUGUGUUUCUAUGGGCUAAUCAUUUUUUUUAUAAAUAUAUAUUUUUAUCCUUACAGUGGAUCCUAACAUUUUAAAAAUAAAAUAGUGAAAAUUAUCCAUAGUAUGCCCGUCUUAAAACAAUUCCAUAUGUUAGAUUAGUAACCUGGCCAGAUUGGACCGUCUUAAAACAAUUCCAUAUGUUAGAUUAGUAACCUGGCCAGAUUGGACCGUCUUAAAACAAUUCCAUAUGUUAGAUUAGUAACCUGGCCAGAUUGG